Molecule: non-coding RNA, 29 nt
Filed under: Mus musculus (house mouse)
Lineage: Eukaryota; Metazoa; Chordata; Mammalia; Rodentia; Muridae
Source: RNAcentral
UGUCAAGACAGAUAGUGAUUGUCCCAUAA